AAGACUAUAGACCUGCGGAGUACCUGCGGAGGGAUCAUUAACAAAUCCAAUAAUUGCAGGAGAACACUUGUUCUUUUUGCAAAUAUUAAUCCGCUGGCCGCUAUUUAUAGCAGCUGGCUGUGAUAUAAAUGCGUGUUAUGUUGACAGUGUGUGUAUAAAUUAAUAUUGACAACUUUUAACAACGGAUCUCU
Molecule: unclassified non-coding RNA, 191 nt
Filed under: soil metagenome
Description: partial contains 5.8S ribosomal RNA, internal transcribed spacer 2, and large subunit ribosomal RNA
Source: RNAcentral